This 295-nucleotide ribosomal RNA is filed under the name uncultured bacterium. RNAcentral's name for it is "partial 16S ribosomal RNA". It matches the Rfam family "Bacterial small subunit ribosomal RNA", at positions 335 to 622 of the family's 1533-position model. The record is from RNAcentral.
CCACCUACGGGGGGCAGCAGUAGGGAAUCUUCCACAAUGGACGAAAGUCUGAUGGAGCAACGCCGCGUGAGUGAAGAAGGGUUUCGGCUCGUAAAGCUCUGUUGGUAGUGAAGAAAGAUAGAGGUAGUAACUGGCCUUUAUUUGACGGUAAUUACUUAGAAGGUCACGGCUAACUACGUGCCAGCAGCCGCGGUAAUACGUAGGUGGCAAGCGUUGUCCGGAUUUAUUGGGCGUAAAGCGAGUGCAGGCGGUUCAAUAAGGCUGAUGUGGAAGCCUUUGGCCCAAACGGGGAAAU